CCUACGGGAGGCAGCAGUGGGGAAUUUUGCGCAAUGCUCGUAAGAGUGACGCAGCGACGCCGCGUGAAUGACGAAGGCCUUCGGGUCGUAAAGUUCUUUCGACAGGGAAGAAAAUGCCUAUAAGUAACUGUGUAUGUAUUGACGGUACCUGUAUAAGCAGCCCCGGCUAACUCCGUGCCAGCAGCCGGGGUAAUACGGAGGGGGCGAGCGUUGUUCGGAGGGACUGGGCGUAAAUAGCACGUAGGCGGUGUUGUAAGUCAUUAGUCAAAGACUAGAGCUCAACUUUAGUAAGGCUAGUGAUACUAUAAUACUAGAGUAUCAGAGAGGAGUGCAGAAUUCCUGGUGUAGCGGUGAAAUGCGUAGAUAUCAGGAGGAAUACCGUUAGCGAAGGCGGCAAUCUGGCUGGAAACUGACGCUGAGGUGCGAAAGCGUGGGUAGCAAACAGGAUUAGAUACCCGUGUAGUC
Molecule: ribosomal RNA, 465 nt
Filed under: uncultured bacterium
Lineage: Bacteria
Description: partial 16S ribosomal RNA
Rfam family: Bacterial small subunit ribosomal RNA
Source: RNAcentral